UUUCAUGUUAUUAUACUUUGCAUAAUGUAGUUUUAUUUUAUGUUUUAAUACCUUUAUUUAAUGUUUUCCCUCUAGAACAAUCACAUUUAAAACAUUUGGAAAGAGCAGGAAAUUGAAGAUUUCUUUAGAAGAUAUUUCCAAGCAGAUUCAGUUGAUUCAGAGCUCAUCAAGACAGCAUAGAAAAUGUGAAUCUCCACUGAAAGAUCAUGGCUUUUGGGCAGGGCUGUGCACAGUCCUAGGAGUACCCAAUACAUCAACAAAUAGGUACCGACUUAGAAGAGCACACUUCAGCCACUGUAAGGAUUUAGUUACAGGAGAAGCUGUGAAUAAUUUGAAAGAUGUGCAGGAGGUAAAAGAUGCGCAGAAGGUGGAAGACAUCCAGGAAGAG
This is a long non-coding RNA of Astyanax mexicanus (Mexican tetra), 388 nucleotides long. RefSeq lists it as uncharacterized. The record is from RefSeq and is a predicted model, not a curated record. Lineage: Eukaryota; Metazoa; Chordata; Actinopteri; Characiformes; Acestrorhamphidae. The transcript has 3 exons.